CCGGGGAGGGGCAGGGGCAGAGGCUGAGGUACGGGGCUCGGCUGCGGCCGCCGGGGCGUUCGAGCACCCAGACGGACGGGAGAGAUGGUGGACGCGGAGAGGGAAAGGCUAACUCCUCUCUGCGCUGCGGGUAGUUGGUUUGGUCACCUCACGUCAGUUUGCAUCCUACUGUGACAGGAGUAAAUGCUUUUCUGAAAAGAUUCUUAGCAGUAACAGAGAGCAACUUAGAAUAGCUUGGAAUAAGUUGCAUGGCUCAAGACACUGACUACAACAAGAAAUUUUCUGAAGUUUAUGAGCCAGGUUUCCUAGUCUCAUCCUGUGAUUGCAUCACUGUAAGUCUAUCAAUUUAAUAUAAAUUCUUAAAAGUUAAGCUUCGUACACUGAACUGCUCAAAGGGUUGUGCUUCUGCAAUUUAUGUAUUUUUAAACAAUGCUUACGGUUACAUAAUAUAUUU
Molecule: long non-coding RNA, 454 nt
Organism: Cygnus olor (mute swan)
Lineage: Eukaryota; Metazoa; Chordata; Aves; Anseriformes; Anatidae
Exons: 4
Source: RefSeq, a predicted model, not a curated record